RNAcentral lists this ribosomal RNA (1405 nucleotides) under Escherichia coli. RNAcentral's name for it is "partial 23S ribosomal RNA". It matches the Rfam family "Bacterial large subunit ribosomal RNA", at positions 1546 to 2925 of the family's 2925-position model. The record is from RNAcentral. Lineage: Bacteria; Pseudomonadati; Pseudomonadota; Gammaproteobacteria; Enterobacterales; Enterobacteriaceae.
AAAACCAAGGCUGAGGCGUGAUGACGAGGCACUACGGUGCUGAAGCGACAAAUGCCCUGCUUCCAGGAAAAGCCUCUAAGCAUCAGGUAACAUCAAAUCGUACCCCAAACCGACACAGGUGGUCAGGUAGAGAAUACCAAGGCGCUUGAGAGAACUCGGGUGAAGGAACUAGGCAAAAUGGUGCCGUAACUUCGGGAGAAGGCACGCUGAUAUGUAGGUGAAGCGACUUGCUCGUGGAGCUGAAAUCAGUCGAAGAUACCAGCUGGCUGCAACUGUUUAUUAAAAACACAGCACUGUGCAAACACGAAAGUGGACGUAUACGGUGUGACGCCUGCCCGGUGCCGGAAGGUUAAUUGAUGGGGUUAGCGGCAACGCGAAGCUCUUGAUCGAAGCCCCGGUAAACGGCGGCCGUAACUAUAACGGUCCUAAGGUAGCGAAAUUCCUUGUCGGGUAAGUUCCGACCUGCACGAAUGGCGUAAUGAUGGCCAGGCUGUCUCCACCCGAGACUCAGUGAAAUUGAACUCGCUGUGAAGAUGCAGUGUACCCGCGGCAAGACGGAAAGACCCCGUGAACCUUUACUAUAGCUUGACACUGAACAUUGAGCCUUGAUGUGUAGGAUAGGUGGGAGGCUUUGAAGUGUGGACGCCAGUCUGCAUGGAGCCGACCUUGAAAUACCACCCUUUAAUGUUUGAUGUUCUAACGUUGGCCCGUAAUCCGGGUUGCGGACAGUGUCUGGUGGGUAGUUUGACUGGGGCGGUCUCCUCCUAAAGAGUAACGGAGGAGCACGAAGGUUGGCUAAUCCUGGUCGGACAUCAGGAGGUUAGUGCAAUGGCAUAAGCCAGCUUGACUGCGAGCGUGACGGCGCGAGCAGGUGCGAAAGCAGGUCAUAGUGAUCCGGUGGUUCUGAAUGGAAGGGCCAUCGCUCAACGGAUAAAAGGUACUCCGGGGAUAACAGGCUGAUACCGCCCAAGAGUUCAUAUCGACGGCGGUGUUUGGCACCUCGAUGUCGGCUCAUCACAUCCUGGGGCUGAAGUAGGUCCCAAGGGUAUGGCUGUUCGCCAUUUAAAGUGGUACGCGAGCUGGGUUUAGAACGUCGUGAGACAGUUCGGUCCCUAUCUGCCGUGGGCGCUGGAGAACUGAGGGGGGCUGCUCCUAGUACGAGAGGACCGGAGUGGACGCAUCACUGGUGUUCGGGUUGUCAUGCCAAUGGCACUGCCCGGUAGCUAAAUGCGGAAGAGAUAAGUGCUGAAAGCAUCUAAGCACGAAACUUGCCCCGAGAUGAGUUCUCCCUGAGACUUAGAGUCUCCUGAAGGAACGUUGAAGACGACGACGUUGAUAGGCCGGGUGUGUAAGCGCAGCGAUGCGUUGAGCUAACCGGUACUAAUGAACCGUGAGGCUUAACCUU